This 75-nucleotide microRNA precursor is filed under the name Haemonchus placei. RNAcentral's name for it is "mir-5928 microRNA precursor family". It matches the Rfam family "mir-5928 microRNA precursor family". Lineage: Eukaryota; Metazoa; Nematoda; Chromadorea; Rhabditida; Trichostrongylidae. The record is from Rfam by way of RNAcentral.
CUCCCAAAUUUGAAGUAGAGUAGAUUAGUAUGGUCAGCUGAUCCUACUAAUCUACUCUACUUCAAGUUUGUGCCC